CCCUUAGAUGUUCUGGGCCGCACGCGUGCUACACUGAGUAAUUCAAUGGAUAAGGGAACGCUAGAGCAUUACCUAAUCUUGAAAUUUGCUCGUGAUGGGGAUCGACGGUUGCAAUUUUCCGUCGUGAACGAGGAAUACCUUGUAGGCGCAUGUCAUCAUCAUGCGCCGAAUACGUCCCUGCCCUUUGUACACACCGCCCGUCGCUCCUACCGAUUGAGUGAUCCGGUGAGGCUCUGGGACCUGGACGGAAAGAGCGUUUCGCUUGUUCUGUUUGGGAAACUUGGUCGAACCUUAUCAUUUAGAGGAAGGAGAAGUCGUAACA
This 322-nucleotide ribosomal RNA is filed under the name uncultured eukaryote. RNAcentral's name for it is "partial 18S ribosomal RNA". It matches the Rfam family "Eukaryotic small subunit ribosomal RNA", at positions 1470 to 1796 of the family's 1831-position model. The record is from RNAcentral.